This 406-nucleotide ribosomal RNA is filed under the name uncultured bacterium. RNAcentral describes it as "partial 16S ribosomal RNA". It matches the Rfam family "Bacterial small subunit ribosomal RNA", at positions 30 to 526 of the family's 1533-position model. The record is from RNAcentral.
AUUGAACGCUGGCGGCAGGCCUAACACAUGCAAGUCGAACGAGUGGCGGACGGGUGAGUAAUGUCUGGGAAACUGCCUGAUGGUGGGGGAUAACUUCUGGAAACUGUAGCUACUACCGCAUUCAAUCGGAUGUGCCCAGAUGGGAUUAGCUAGUAGGUGGGGUAAAGGAUCACCUAGGCGACGAUCCCUAGCUGGUCUGAGAGGAUGACCACCCACACUGGAACUGAGACACGGUCCAGACUCCUACGUGAGGCAGCAGUGGGGAAUAUUGCACAAUGGGCGCAAGCCUGAUGCAGCCAUGCCGCGUGGAUGAAGAAGGCCUUCGGGUUGUCAAGGACUUGCAGCGGGGAGGCGUUACCCGCAGAAGAAGCACCGGCUAACUCCGGGCCAGCAGCCGCGGUAAUUC